AACACUGAAGAAGAAGAGAGUUCGGCUUCGUGUGCAGGAUAAAAAUAAACUGAGGGCGAGUAUAUAGAACUCUGGACGCCAAUAAUAUUAGCGUUCCACGUCCCGUCCCUCUCUGCAAGCUCUCUGCAAGAAUUCGGUGUGUGGAGGUGUGUGGAGGUCUGCACACCAUUGAUAAUGGCGUCCCGCUCUGCAAGAUUUGCUGUGGAGUGACUUGAGCUACUGACGACGUGACCACCUGCAGAGAUUCG
RNAcentral lists this unclassified non-coding RNA (248 nucleotides) under Hevea brasiliensis (rubber tree). Lineage: Eukaryota; Viridiplantae; Streptophyta; Magnoliopsida; Malpighiales; Euphorbiaceae. The record is from RNAcentral.